This 658-nucleotide ribosomal RNA is filed under the name uncultured bacterium. Its description in RNAcentral is "bacterial SSU rRNA". It matches the Rfam family "Bacterial small subunit ribosomal RNA", at positions 187 to 848 of the family's 1533-position model. The record is from RNAcentral.
GCAUGUUCACAUGAUUAAAGGUAUUCCGGUAGACGAUGGGGAUGCGUUCCAUUAGAUAGUAGGCGGGGUAACGGCCCACCUAGUCUUCGAUGGAUAGGGGUUCUGAGAGGAAGGUCCCCCACAUUGGAACUGAGACACGGUCCAAACUCCUACGGGAGGCAGCAGUGAGGAAUAUUGGUCAAUGGGCGAGAGCCUGAACCAGCCAAGUAGCGUGAAGGAUGACUGCCCUAUGGGCUGUAAACUUCUUUUAUAAAGGAAUAAAGUCGGGUAUGCAUACCCGUUUGUAUGUACUUUAUGAAUAAGGAUCGGCUAACUCCGUGCCAGCAGCCGCGGUAAUACGGAGGAUCCGAGCGUUAUCCGGAUUUAUUGGGUUUAAAGGGAGCGUAGAUGGAUGUUUAAGUCAGUUGUGAAAGUUUGCGGCUCAACCGUAAAAUUGCAGUUGAUACUGGAUAUCUUGAGUGCAGUUGAGGCAGGCGGAAUUCGUGGUGUAGCGGUGAAAUGCUUAGAUAUCACGAAGAACUCCGAUUGCGAAGGCAGCCUGCUAAGCUGCAACUGACAUUGAGGCUCGAAAGUGUGGGUAUCAAACAGGAUUAGAUACCCUGGUAGUCCACACGGUAAACGAUGAAUACUCGCUGUUUGCGAUAUACAGCAAGCGGCC